AACGAACGCUGGCGGCAGGCUUAACACAUGCAAGUCGAGCGCCCCGCAAGGGGAGCGGCAGACGGGUGAGUAACGCGUGGGAAUCUACCUUUUGCUACGGAAUAACUCAGGGAAACUUGUGCUAAUACCGUAUGUGCCCUUCGGGGGAAAGAUUUAUCGGCAAAGGAUGAGCUCGCGUUGGAUUAGCUAGUUGGUGGGGUAAAGGCCUACCAAGGCGACGAUCCAUAGCUGGUCUGAGAGGAUGAUCAGCCACAUUGGGACUGAGACACGGCCCAAACUCCUACGGGAGGCAGCAGUGGGGAAUAUUGGACAAUGGGCGCAAGCCUGAUCCAGCCAUGCCGCGUGAGUGAUGAAGGCCUUAGGGUUGUAAAGCUCUUUCACCGGUGAAGAUAAUGACGGUAACCGGAGAAGAAGCCCCGGCUAACUUCGUGCCAGCAGCCGCCGUAA
This 447-nucleotide ribosomal RNA is filed under the name uncultured bacterium. RNAcentral describes it as "partial 16S ribosomal RNA". It matches the Rfam family "Bacterial small subunit ribosomal RNA", at positions 29 to 523 of the family's 1533-position model. The record is from RNAcentral.